AUUGAACGCUGGCGGCAUGCCUUACACAUGCAAGUCGAACGGCAGCACGGGUGCUUGCACCUGGUGGCGAGUGGCGAACGGGUGAGUAAUACAUCGGAACAUGUCCUGUAGUGGGGGAUAGCCCGGCGAAAGCCGGAUUAAUACCGCAUACGAUCCACGGAUGAAAGCGGGGGACCUUCGGGCCUCGCGCUAUAGGGUUGGCCGAUGGCUGAUUAGCUAGUUGGUGGGGUAAAGGCCUACCAAGGCGACGAUCAGUAGCUGGUCUGAGAGGACGACCAGCCACACUGGGACUGAGACACGGCCCAGACUCCUACGGGAGGCAGCAGUGGGGAAUUUUGGACAAUGGGCGAAAGCCUGAUCCAGCAAUGCCGCGUGUGUGAAGAAGGCCUUCGGGUUGUAAAGCACUUUUGUCCGGAAAGAAAUCCUUGACUCUAAUACAGUCGGGGGACGACGGUACCGGAAGAAUAAGCACCGGCUAACUACGUG
RNAcentral lists this ribosomal RNA (486 nucleotides) under uncultured bacterium. RNAcentral's name for it is "partial 16S ribosomal RNA". It matches the Rfam family "Bacterial small subunit ribosomal RNA", at positions 30 to 507 of the family's 1533-position model. The record is from RNAcentral.